Molecule: ribosomal RNA, 492 nt
Filed under: uncultured bacterium
Lineage: Bacteria
Description: partial 16S ribosomal RNA
Rfam family: Bacterial small subunit ribosomal RNA
Source: RNAcentral
AGUGAACGCUGGCGGUAUGCCUAACACAUGCAAGUCGAACGGCAGCACAGUAAGAUCUUGCUCUUACGGGUGGCGAGUGGCGGACGGGUGAGGAAUACAUCGGAAUCUACUUUUUCGUGGGGGAUAACGUAGGGAAACUUACGCUAAUACCUCAUACGACCUACGGGUGAAAGCAGUGGAUCUUCGGACCUUGCGCGAUUGAAUGAGCCGAUGUCGGAUUAGCUAGUUGGCGGGGUAAAGGCCCACCAAGGCGACGAUCCGUAGCUGGUCUGAGAGGAUGAUCAGCCACACUGGAACUGAGACACGGUCCAGACUCCUACGGGAGGCAGCAGUGGGGAAUAUUGGACAAUGGGCGCAAGCCUGAUCCAGCCAUACCGCGUGGGUGAAGAAGGCCUUCGGGUUGUAAAGCCCUUUUGUUGGGAAAGAAAAGAAGCAGAUUAAUACCCCGCUGUUCUGACGGUACCCAAAGAAUAAGCACCGGCUAACUUCGUA